CACGCAGGCGGAUUGAUAAGUCAGGGGUGAAAUCCCGGAGCUCAACUUCGGAAUUGCCUUUGAUACUGUCUGUCUUCGAGUUCGGGAGAGGUUGGCGGAAUUCCUAGUGUAGAGGUGAAAUUCGUAGAUAUUAGGAAGAACACCAGUGGCGAAGGCGGCCAACUGGCCCGAUACUGACGCUCAUGUGCGAAAGCGUGGGGAGCAAACAGGAUUAGAUACCCUGGUAGUCCACGCUGUAAACUAUGGAUGCUAGCCGUUGGGGAGCUUGCUCUUCAGUGGCGCAGCUAACGUCUUAAGCAUCCCGCCUGAGGAGUACGGUCGCAAGAUUAAA
This 331-nucleotide ribosomal RNA is filed under the name uncultured bacterium. RNAcentral's name for it is "bacterial SSU rRNA". It matches the Rfam family "Bacterial small subunit ribosomal RNA", at positions 568 to 898 of the family's 1533-position model. The record is from RNAcentral.